RNAcentral lists this ribosomal RNA (484 nucleotides) under uncultured bacterium. RNAcentral's name for it is "bacterial SSU rRNA". It matches the Rfam family "Bacterial small subunit ribosomal RNA", at positions 28 to 507 of the family's 1533-position model. The record is from RNAcentral.
GAUGAACGCUAGCGGCAGGCUUAACACAUGCAAGUCGAGGGGCAGCACGAGUAGCAAUACUUGGUAGAGACCGGCGCACGGGUGCGUAACGCGUAUGCAAUCUACCUUUCACAGAGGGAUAGCCCAGAGAAAUUUGGAUUAAUACCUCAUAGUAUAAUGAGUUGGCAUCAACACAUUAUUAAAGUCACAACGGUGAAAGAUGAGCAUGCGUCCCAUUAGCUAGAUGGUAAGGUAACGGCUUACCAUGGCUACGAUGGGUAGGGGUCCUGAGAGGGAGAUCCCCCACACUGGUACUGAGACACGGACCAGACUCCUACGGGAGGCAGCAGUGAGGAAUAUUGGACAAUGGGCGCAAGCCUGAUCCAGCCAUGCCGCGUGCAGGAUGACGGUCCUAUGGAUUGUAAACUGCUUUUGUACAGGAAGAAACACUGGUUCGUGAACCAGCUUGACGGUACUGUAAGAAUAAGGAUCGGCUAACUCCGUG